GACGAACGCUGGCGGCGUGCCUAAUACAUGCAAGUAGAACGCUGAAGGCGGAGCUUGCUUCUCUGGAUGAGUUGCGAACGGGUGAGUAACGCGUAGGUAACCUGCCUUGUAGCGUGGGAUAACUUUUGGAAACGAUAGCUAAUACCGCAUAAGAGUAGCUGUUGCAUGACAUUUGCUGGAAAGUUGCAAUUGCAUCGCUACCAGAUGGCCCUGCGUUGUAUUAGCUAGUUGGUGGGGUAACGGCUCACCAAGGCGGGGAUACAUAGCCGACCUGAGAGGGGGAGCGGCCACCCUGGGACGGAGACACGGCCCAGACGGCUUCGGGUGGCAGCAGUAGGGAAUCGUCGGCAAGGGACGGAAGACUGACCGAGCAACGCCGAGGGAGUGAAGAAGGAUGUCGGGUCGGAAAGGUCGGUUGUAAGGGAAGAACGAGCGUGAGAGUGGAAAGUUCACACUGUGACGGUAACUGACCAGAAAGGGACGGCUAACUACGUG
This 495-nucleotide ribosomal RNA is filed under the name uncultured bacterium. RNAcentral describes it as "partial 16S ribosomal RNA". It matches the Rfam family "Bacterial small subunit ribosomal RNA", at positions 28 to 507 of the family's 1533-position model. The record is from RNAcentral.